RNAcentral lists this ribosomal RNA (491 nucleotides) under uncultured bacterium. Its description in RNAcentral is "partial 16S ribosomal RNA". It matches the Rfam family "Bacterial small subunit ribosomal RNA", at positions 28 to 507 of the family's 1533-position model. The record is from RNAcentral.
GAUGAACGCUAGCUACAGGCUUAACACAUGCAAGUCGAGGGGAAACGACAUCGAAAGCUUGCUUUUGAUGGGCGUCGACCGGCGCACGGGUGAGUAACGCGUAUCCAACCUGCCCAUCACUUGGGGAUAACCUUGCGAAAGUAAGACUAAUACCCAAUGAUAUCUCUAGAAGACAUCUGAAAGAGAUUAAAGAUUUAUCGGUGAUGGAUGGGGAUGCGUCUGAUUAGCUUGUUGGCGGGGUAACGGCCCACCAAGGCAACGAUCAGUAGGGGUUCUGAGAGGAGGGCCCCCCCCAUGGGACCUGGGACACGGUCAAACUUCCACCGGAGGCAGCAGUGAGGAAUAUUGGUCAAUGGGCGAGAGCCUGAACCAGCCAAGUAGCGUGCAGGAAGACGGCCCUAUGGGUUGUAAACUGCUUUUAUAAGGGAAUAAAGUGAGAGUCGUGACUCUUUUUGUAUGUACCUUAUGAAUAAGGACCGGCUAAUUCCGUG